AGUGGUCAAUAGUGACAGAGUUAGGGAGGGAAGGGGUGACUAGUGACAGAGUGAGGAAGGGGGUGACUAGUGAUAGAGGGAGGGGUGACUAGGAACAGAGUGAGGGAGGUGGUGACUAGUGACUAGUGACAGUCACCACCUCCCUCACUCUGUCACUAGUCACCCCGUCCUUCCCUCACUCUGCCACUAGUCACCCCUUCCCUCACUCUGUCACCAGUCCUCCCCUCACUCUGUCACUAGUCACCCUUCCUUCCCUCACUCUGCCACUAGUCACCCCUUCCCUCACU
RNAcentral lists this small RNA (287 nucleotides) under Pelobates cultripes (western spadefoot toad). Lineage: Eukaryota; Metazoa; Chordata; Amphibia; Anura; Pelobatidae. The record is from RNAcentral.